ACUCCUACGGGAGGCAGCAGUGGGGAAUAUUGCACAAUGGGCGAAAGCCUGAUGCAGCGACGCCGCGUGAGGGAUGACGGCCUUCGGGUUGUAAACCUCUUUCAGCAGGGACGAAGCGCAAGUGACGGUACCUGCAGAAGAAACACCGGCUAACUACGUGCCAGCAGCCGCGGUAAU
RNAcentral lists this ribosomal RNA (177 nucleotides) under uncultured bacterium. RNAcentral's name for it is "partial 16S ribosomal RNA". It matches the Rfam family "Bacterial small subunit ribosomal RNA", at positions 335 to 524 of the family's 1533-position model. The record is from RNAcentral.